This 68-nucleotide transfer RNA is filed under the name Mycetomoellerius zeteki. RNAcentral's name for it is "Trachymyrmex zeteki tRNA". It matches the Rfam family "tRNA". From Rfam's summary of the family: Transfer RNA (tRNA) molecules are approximately 80 nucleotides in length. Their secondary structure includes four short double-helical elements and three loops (D, anti-codon, and T loops). Further hydrogen bonds mediate the characteristic L-shaped molecular structure. tRNAs have two regions of fundamental functional importance: the anti-codon, which is responsible for specific mRNA codon recognition, and the 3' end, to which the tRNAs corresponding amino acid is attached (by aminoacyl-tRNA synthetases). tRNAs cope with the degeneracy of the genetic code in two manners: having more than one tRNA (with a specific anti-codon) for a particular amino acid; and 'wobble' base-pairing, i.e. permitting non-standard base-pairing at the 3rd anti-codon position. The record is from Rfam by way of RNAcentral. Lineage: Eukaryota; Metazoa; Arthropoda; Insecta; Hymenoptera; Formicidae.
GCUAAGGUGGUCUAAAGGCUUAGGACGACAGAAUGCAAGAGAUCCGGGUUCGACUCCCGGCCGAGGCA